CGGUUUCUGGUAAGAGCAAGAAGCUGAUGGGGUAGCUGGAAGCAAAGGAUUUUCAUCCCCAUCCUGUUUCACAGGAGAAUCUUCCCUAGAAGAGAGAACUCAGGCCCUGGAUAUGCUGUCACAUAGUUCCCUGGAUGGAACUACUGAGCGACAUGGGACCCAGUGACCACAUCAGUUAUAGUUUGCAUGUCGAAAGGACCAUCCCACUGUGACAUGGCAGAAGACAUAAGAGGGUAGUUCUCAUUCCAGGGGGAGUUAGUCAUUCUCAAGACAUCUUCCAAUUGCCUCUACACAACUCAGAAUUAAAGAACCCCUCAAAGCACUAGAGGUGCACUAAACAGUCAUUGUCAAGAUUAUGGUGUUCUGAAGGCAAAUUCCAGACUUCCAGGCUUCCCCAUCGUCUAUCAUGGCAAUCCUCAAAAGGGAGACACCCUUCCUGGGGAGGCAUCUGACUGUCUCAGGACAAAGUGAGCAGCGUUUCCCACACACGGGCUGGAGAUGUUGGUGCUCUUCCUAGCCCGUGCUCAUGUUGAACCACUUUUAUCACGGGGCCGUUCCUCAAGAUACCUUUUAUAUCCAUCCAGAAUUGCUGACCAUAUCAAAAUUCAAAAGAAAUUCCACAGCAGGACACAAAGGUGCACAGGAUCCCAGACCUGGCCUCCUGAGGCUGAUUUUGGAUCUGCCUAGAAGACCAUCUACAGGGAGCUGUGGGGUUCCAACAGUGUGGAAGAGGGUCCUCCGAGAAGGCGGGGAGUGGCCAGCUAAAGAGGCACCACCCCAUCUUCAAAGAAACCACCAGGGGGACCCUACAAGG
Suricata suricatta (meerkat) is the source of this 814-nucleotide long non-coding RNA. RefSeq lists it as uncharacterized. NCBI's taxonomy places the organism in Eukaryota, Metazoa, Chordata, Mammalia, Carnivora, Herpestidae. The transcript is spliced from 6 exons. The record is from RefSeq and is a predicted model, not a curated record.